Molecule: ribosomal RNA, 520 nt
Filed under: uncultured bacterium
Lineage: Bacteria
Description: partial 16S ribosomal RNA
Rfam family: Bacterial small subunit ribosomal RNA
Source: RNAcentral
GACGAACGCUGGCGGCGUGCCUAAUACAUGCAAGUCGAACGCACUCUCGUUUAGAUUGAAGGAGUUUGCUCCUGAUUGAUAAACAUUUGAGUGAGUGGCGGACGGGUGAGUAACACGUGGGUAACCUGCCCUAAAGUGGGGGAUAACAUUUGGAAACAGAUGCUAAUACCGCAUAAAACCUAACACCGCAUGGUGUAGGGUUGAAAGAUGGUUUCGGCUAUCACUUUAGGAUGGACCCGCGGUGCAUUAGUUAGUUGGUGAGGUAAAGGCUCACCAAGACCGUGAUGCAUAGCCGACCUGAGAGGGAAAUCGGCCACACUGGGACUGAGACACGGCCCAGACUCCUACGGGAGGCAGCAGUAGGGAAUCUUCCACAAUGGACGAAAGUCUGAUGGAGCAACGCCGCGUGAGUGAAGAAGGUUUUCGGAUCGUAAAACUCUGUUGUUGGAGAAGAAUGUAUCUGAUAGUAACUGAUCAGGUAGUGACGGUAUCCAACCAGAAAGCCACGGCUAACUACGUG